This 494-nucleotide ribosomal RNA is filed under the name uncultured bacterium. RNAcentral's name for it is "partial 16S ribosomal RNA". It matches the Rfam family "Bacterial small subunit ribosomal RNA", at positions 28 to 507 of the family's 1533-position model. The record is from RNAcentral.
GACGUACGCUGGCGGCGUGCCUAAUACAUGCAAGUAGAACGCUGAGGGAGGAGCUUGCUCUUCUGGAUGAGUUGCGAACGGGUGAGAACGCGUAGGUAACCUUCCUGGUAGCGGGGGAAAAAUAUUGGAAACGAUAGCUAAUAACGCAUAAGAGUAGAAGUUGCAUGAAAUUUGCUUAAAAGGUGCAAUUGCAUCACUACCAGAUGGACCUGCGUUGUAUUAGCUAGUUGGUGGGGUAACGGCUCACCAAGGCGACGAUACAUAGCCGACCUGAGAGGGUGAUCGGCCACACUGGGACUGAGACACGGCCCAGACUCCUACGGGAGGCAGCAGUAGGGAAUCUUCGGCAAUGGACGGAAGUCUGACCGAGCAACGCCGCGUGAGUGAAGAAGGUUUUCGGAUCGUAAAGCUCUGUUGUAAGAGAAGAACGAGUGUGAGAGUGGAAAGUUCACACUGUGACGGUAUCUUACCAGAAAGGGACGGCUAACUACGUG